This 361-nucleotide ribosomal RNA is filed under the name uncultured Rhodocyclaceae bacterium. RNAcentral describes it as "bacterial SSU rRNA". It matches the Rfam family "Bacterial small subunit ribosomal RNA", at positions 1021 to 1382 of the family's 1533-position model. Lineage: Bacteria; Pseudomonadati; Pseudomonadota; Betaproteobacteria; Rhodocyclales; Rhodocyclaceae. The record is from RNAcentral.
GGAGACGCGGAACACAGGUGCUGCAUGGCUGUCGUCAGCUCGUGUCGUGAGAUGUUGGGUUAAGUCCGCAACGAGCGCAACCCUUGUCAUUAGUUGCCAUCAUUUGGUUGGGCACUCUAAUGAGACUGCCGGUGACAAACCGGAGGAAGGUGGGGAUGACGUCAAGUCCUCAUGGCCCUUAUGGGUAGGGCUUCGACACGUCAUACAAUGGUCGGUACAGAGGGUUGCCAACCCGCGAGGGGGAGCUAAGUCCCACAAAGCCGAUCGUAGUCCGGAUCGCAGUCUGCAACUCGACUGCGUGAAGUCGGAAUCGCUAGUAAUCGUGGAUCAGCAUGUCACGGUGAAUACGUUCCCGGGUCUU